This 460-nucleotide ribosomal RNA is filed under the name uncultured bacterium. RNAcentral's name for it is "partial 16S ribosomal RNA". It matches the Rfam family "Bacterial small subunit ribosomal RNA", at positions 338 to 795 of the family's 1533-position model. The record is from RNAcentral.
CCUACGGGUGGCAGCAGUGAGGAAUAUUGGUCAAUGGACGAGAGUCUGAACCAGCCAAGUAGCGUGAAGGAUGACUGCCCUAUGGGUUGUAAACUUCUUUUAUAUGGGAAUAAAAUGUUCCACGUGUGGGAUUUUGUAUGUACCAUAUGAAAAAGGAUCGGCUAACUCCGUGCCAGCAGCCGCGGUAAUCCGGAGGAUCCGAGCGUUAUCCGGAUUUAUUGGGUUUAAAGGGAGCGUAGGUGGAUUGUUAAGUCAGUUGUGAAAGUUUGCGGCUCAACCGUAAAAUUGCAGUUGAAACUGGCAGUCGUGAGUACAGUAGAGGUGGGCGGAAUUCGUGGUGUAGCGGUGAAAUGCUUAGAUAUCACGAAGAACUCAGAUUGCGAAGGCAGCUCACUGGACUGCAACUGACACUGAGGCUCGAAAGUGUGGGUAUCAAACAGGUUUAGAUACCCCAGUAGUC